RNAcentral lists this ribosomal RNA (253 nucleotides) under uncultured bacterium. Its description in RNAcentral is "partial 16S ribosomal RNA". It matches the Rfam family "Bacterial small subunit ribosomal RNA", at positions 524 to 776 of the family's 1533-position model. The record is from RNAcentral.
UACAGAGGGGGCAAGCGUUGUUCGGAAUUACUGGGCGUAAAGGGCGCGUAGGCGGCCUUCUAAGUCAGACGUGAAAUCCCCAGGCUUAACUUGGGAACUGCGUCUGAUACUGGGAGGCUUGAGUGCGGGAGAGGGAUGUGGAAUUCCCGGUGUAGAGGUGAAAUUCGUAGAUAUCGGGAGGAACACCGGUGGCGAAGGCGGCGACCUGGGUAGAUACUGACGCUGAGGUGCGAAAGCGUGGGGAGCAAACAGG